AACGAACGCUGGCGGCAUGCCUAACACAUGCAAGUCGAACGAGACCUUCGGGUCUAGUGGCGCACGGGUGCGUAACGCGUGGGAAUCUGCCCCUUGGUUCGGAAUAACUUCGGGAAACUGAAGCUAAUACCGGAUAAUGACGUAAGUCCAAAGAUUUAUCGCCAAGGGAUGAGCCCGCGUAGGAUUAGCUAGUUGGUGGGGUAAAGGCUCACCAAGGCGACGAUCCUUAGCUGGUCUGAGAGGAUGAUCAGCCACACUGGGACUGAGACACGGCCCAGACUCCUACGGGAGGCAGCAGUGGGGAAUAUUGGACAAUGGGCGAAAGCCUGAUCCAGCAAUGCCCGCGUGAGUGAUGAAGGCCUUAGGGUUGUAAAGCUCUUUUACCCGGGAAGAUAAUGACUGUACCGGGAGAAUAAGCCCGGCUAACUCCGUGCCAGCAGCCGCGGUAAU
This 450-nucleotide ribosomal RNA is filed under the name uncultured bacterium. RNAcentral's name for it is "bacterial SSU rRNA". It matches the Rfam family "Bacterial small subunit ribosomal RNA", at positions 29 to 524 of the family's 1533-position model. The record is from RNAcentral.